RNAcentral lists this microRNA (23 nucleotides) under Dasypus novemcinctus (nine-banded armadillo). RNAcentral describes it as "dno-miR-505-3p". Its record names the gene dno-miR-505-3p. RNAcentral also lists the same sequence under 10 other names. The record is from miRBase by way of RNAcentral. Lineage: Eukaryota; Metazoa; Chordata; Mammalia; Cingulata; Dasypodidae.
CGUCAACACUUGCUGGUUUCCUC